RNAcentral lists this unclassified non-coding RNA (245 nucleotides) under Hevea brasiliensis (rubber tree). The record is from RNAcentral. Lineage: Eukaryota; Viridiplantae; Streptophyta; Magnoliopsida; Malpighiales; Euphorbiaceae.
CUGGACUCGCAAGUCUGGAGGCGACUAUCUUCCUUUUCUCUGUCGGCAACAGGUAAGUGUGUAGGGUUUUAUAUUUUUGUCUUAAAAAAUUUUAAAAAAAAGGGUUCUGCUUUAUUUUAAAGAGGCGAUGCCUCUCGCCUGCUUGGUUUCUCGCCUCGUUGCCCUGAAGCAUCGACUCUGAAGGUGCCAAGAGGGGUAACCCAGUCGAGGCGGCAAAGGGGCGCCUCGCCUGGGCGCCUCCCACG